This 484-nucleotide ribosomal RNA is filed under the name uncultured bacterium. RNAcentral's name for it is "partial 16S ribosomal RNA". It matches the Rfam family "Bacterial small subunit ribosomal RNA", at positions 29 to 507 of the family's 1533-position model. The record is from RNAcentral.
AUUGAACGCUGGCGGAAUGCUUUACACAUGCAAGUCGAACGGCAGCACGGGGGCAGCCCUGGUGGCGAGUGGCGAACGGGUGAGUAAUACAUCGGAACGUGCCCGGUCGUGGGGGAUAACGGAGCGAAAGUUACGCUAAUACCGCAUACGAUCUGAGGAUGAAAUCGGGGGACCUUCGGGCCUCGCGCGAUCGGAGCGGCCGAUGCCAGAUUAGGUAGUUGGUGGGGUAAAGGCCUACCAAGCCGACGAUCUGUAGCUGGUCUGAGAGGACGACCAGCCACACUGGGACUGAGACACGGCCCAGACUCCUACGGGAGGCAGCAGUGGGGAAUUUUGGACAAUGGGCGCAAGCCUGAUCCAGCCAUUCCGCGUGCAGGACGAAGGCCUUCGGGUUGUAAACUGCUUUUGUACGGAACGAAAAGGCUCUGGCUAAUACCUGAGGCUCAUGACGGUACCGGAAGAAUAAGCACCGGCUAACUACGUG